CCCCCCCCCCCUAAUCAUCUCCCUCGCCUUACCCUUCUCGGAGAACUAAAGAAUAACCCUAACCUGCCACCCUAUUUUCUAUCACCUUGGGCCGGCGGCACCACCCCCAAACCAUCCCAAAUUAAUACCGUAGUACCCCCAAUGGCUUCCUAUUCUCAAAUCCUCACUCUGUUUCCCUCGAAUCUUGUCGGAACUUCUCGAAUCUUAAAUCGAAGGUGGAACCAUAAAAUACCAAAAACGUCCAAAUUGAAAUUUCGUAGAAGAUUUAUGCUUAUUUUUACUUUAUUUGUGUGUUCUUGAUAAGAACACAUGAUUAACAUCGAAUUGAGCCGAAAAUUUGAAGAUUUUGAAGACUCGGUCUCCAUUUCUUACUAGUCAUAGAUUGUUUUUAGGUACUUCUUUCUUUACCUUUUGAUAUUUAAUUAUUAUUUUAUUGUUAUUCUCUUCUCAUAUUCUUAUACUCUUUCUUUUAUUUUUUUAUUUUUUUCAUUUCUUCAAAUCAUCUCUAUUUGCAUGUUAGUUUCAGAACUUAUUUAAUUGGUAUUUGUUUUCUGUUUUCUUUUUUUUUUUUUAGUUUUCUGUUUCUACCUUUCUUUGGGCCCGAAAAUUGCACGAGUCAUUUAGACUCUGUAAAAUAACAGGUAAUGGUCUUUGAACUUUCAAUUUCGAAUUGAGGCUCCGAUAAAACCAAAAGCUCAAGAGGGAACUCUACCUGAAUUUAAUGACUCAUAACAUUUGAAUUGGGUCAAUUUGACCCAUGUGUUGUCUGGUCUCUUAAGGUAAAAACAGGGGUCUUAAAUGGUAGAUUAGGAAAUCUAGGUGAAACAAUGUUAUUUGACUGAAUUAUGAAGCUUCUCAGAAGCUGGGUAGGGACUUAUGUGAAAAUCUAAAUUUUACACUAAGAGUGUCUAAGCAAAAAUUAGAAUUCCAAAAGGUUUUAAGUGCAAAAAACGAUUCCUUUAGGCUACCCUAGAAGCUUGCCUAUAAAGGUAUCAUUACUUGAGAUUCAAGUUAGAUUUUUGAGAGAUAAAAAAUCCAGAAAAUUAUAACAGAAAAAACUUCGAAAAUAUCCUUGAAUUAGUUGCAUUUCCUUGUUAAAAACGGCUCAAAAUUUGUUUGGUCUUUUGUUUCUGAUUUUCAUUACUUAGUUGAACUACUGAAAAGGAUAAGAUCUUACACCUAGUUUUAAAUGAAUUGGAUUUUGGAUCUACAAAAGUUUUGGUUUGAGUUUGUUUUUUUACUGUUUGGUCUACUGUUCCAUUGUUGGGUUGGAGCCGAUUUCUGUUGAUGCUUCCCAUUGUUGAUCUAAUGUUGCUGUUUGUUUAUUCCUGAUCUCGAAACUGAGUUUCUGGUUCUAUUUUUCUAUAUACAUGUACAUGCUCUUGAACCUUAUUCAAUGUAAGAUUUGAAUUGAAGAAUGAAAUGGAAAAACGAAAGUUUGAAGUCUAGCAUUAAGCGAUUUGUUCAUAGUUUACUUUAUUUCUUUUUCUUUUCUUUGAAUCCCUUGGUUCUUGAAAUUAUUUCUUCUGUUUCUGCUUCUCUUUCAAUAUUUAGUGGUGGAUCUUGUAUUAUAUUUGUUACUUAAGCUUCUUCUAUUGAUAAUCAUGCACUAUGAAAGUUGAAGUUAUGCCUUUGAAAGUUUAAUAUCAUGUUGGAUUUGGGUGGUAGAGAAAUCCAUGCAGUAGUUACAUUUUUGCUUUCAGUUUUCUCUUUCUGUACUCAUUUGUUAAAAAAAUUAAUCCAUGUGGUUGAUAAUCUGAGUGUGAUUUUGAGGUCAAAGUAAUUUAUAUGCUAGUUUUCUGGGGUUCUGAUAGUAUUGAGAAGAGCUUAAUUGAGUUUAUGUUUCUUAAGUAGUAGUUAGUAUAAAAUUCAUGUGAAAAGAAAAAGGAAAAAAUGGUCCAGAUUGCUUUGAAGAGUAAAGGCAUGUUACUGAAUUAAUAUUGAUUGUGUAUGAGCAUAUUAAGUUGGAAUUUUUGUUUAAAUUUCAGAAUAAUUAGCUAGUUAACUUGUGCUUGAAUAGUCAAAAUUCAGAAGUAAAAAUGUUAGUUCAAUAGCAUGUUUCGUAUAGUCUUGAUUAGAUUUGUAUUUUCAAUUGAUUUUGUACCAAUAAUUGGGUUCU
This 2119-nucleotide long non-coding RNA is filed under the name Nicotiana benthamiana. RNAcentral's name for it is "long non-coding RNA (NBEN_LNC040022)". The record is from RNAcentral. Lineage: Eukaryota; Viridiplantae; Streptophyta; Magnoliopsida; Solanales; Solanaceae.